CCCUUAGAUGUUCUGGGCCGCACGCGCGCUACACUGAUGCAUUCAACGAGUCUAAAACCUGCUCGGAUAGGGGUGGGUAAUCUUUUGAAUGUGCAUCGUGAUUGGGAUAGAUGAUUGCAAUUUUUCAUCUUCAACGAGGAAUGCCUAGUAAACGCAAGUCAUCAGCUUGCAUUGAUUACGUCCCUGCCCUUUGUACACACCGCCCGUCGCUCCUACCGAUUGAAUGAUCCGAUGAAUAUCAUGGAUUGAGGAUGCAAGCAGGUUCGCCUGUCUUCAUCUUCGAGAAGUGAAGUAAAUCUUAUCAUUUAGAGGAAGGAGAAGUCGUAACA
This 329-nucleotide ribosomal RNA is filed under the name uncultured eukaryote. Its description in RNAcentral is "partial 18S ribosomal RNA". It matches the Rfam family "Eukaryotic small subunit ribosomal RNA", at positions 1470 to 1796 of the family's 1831-position model. The record is from RNAcentral.